UGGAAUCAGGCUUGUUCUUGAUUUCAAUCGGUUUCUCACCCCAUCUAAGCUCAUGGAGAGGUGUCUAGUCCCAAUUGGAGUCGCUUUGAGUGACGGCUAUGAAAAUUGGGUAUGUUCCCCGUGAGGGUCGAGCAUAGACUUUAUGAACAGUGCUGGAGCUGUCGCCUCACCAAAAAAUCAUCGAUAACUGGUGGCUAUGUGUGACAUUAGUCACAUAGGUAUCUGCUGAUGCAGAGAGCCUUAAUGAGUUGUUCGUGUCAUCUGACCUACAACCGCCAGUAUCGGUAAAUCAACCCAAUUAACUUGUUUCUUGUGUCGUGUUAAUACAUACUGGCAAAGUGUAUUAGCUUUAGCGAUGGAUCGGUUGAUUCGCGUAUCGAUGAAAAACGCAGCAAGCUGCGUUAUUUACCACGAAUUGCAGACGCUUAGAGUGGUGAAGUUUUGAACGCACAGCGCCGUUGGGUUUUCCCUUCGGCACGUCUGGCUCAGGGUUGUUUAAUAAGCGAAAGUGUUGAAAGUUCAUUAAACGAGAGUUCGGUGAUACUGACAACACUACGUCGAGCGGUGUACUGUUGAAAGUACCCCGUUCAAGUAUCUUUAUGGGGCAACAUGUCUUCUAUAUGGAGACAUGAAAGAUAUUAAGAGUAUAUACCUGUGGAUGCCCACGUAUGAAAUAUGACGUGUCGUAUACACGGCUAGGAGGUAUGUCUCAGAUGAAUUUGUUUAUGCAACCUGAGCUCAGUCGUGAUUACCCGCUGAACUAAA
RNAcentral lists this ribosomal RNA (765 nucleotides) under Heterorhabditis bacteriophora. Its description in RNAcentral is "eukaryotic LSU rRNA". The stretch from base 345 to 494 matches the Rfam family "5.8S ribosomal RNA". The record is from RNAcentral. Lineage: Eukaryota; Metazoa; Nematoda; Chromadorea; Rhabditida; Heterorhabditidae.